RNAcentral lists this ribosomal RNA (111 nucleotides) under Heterocephalus glaber (naked mole-rat). Lineage: Eukaryota; Metazoa; Chordata; Mammalia; Rodentia; Bathyergidae. The record is from RNAcentral.
GUCCACGGCCAUACCAUCCUGAACACAUCUGGUCUCGUCUGACCUCGGAAACUAAGCAGGGUCGGGCCUUAUUAGUAUUUGGAUGGGAGACAAAAGGAGGAACCCAGAGCA